This 21143-nucleotide long non-coding RNA is filed under the name Fragaria vesca (wild strawberry). Its description in RNAcentral is "long non-coding RNA (FVES_LNC001671)". The record is from RNAcentral. Lineage: Eukaryota; Viridiplantae; Streptophyta; Magnoliopsida; Rosales; Rosaceae.
GACUUUAAAAGCAUGCCCUAUUAUCCAUACAAGAAACUUAAAUACAAAAUUGUACAUGAUACACAAUUUAGUUUGCAUGAAUCCAUUUAUAUUGAUCAUCAAAUAACUUGAAUUGCAAAAUGAAAGCUCACUUCUACACCUUUUCCAGUCCAGCAAUCCAUGCUCAUAUAAUUGAUAGCCUCCUUAACCUGUGAUAUGACACCAAAAAAUUCACUCAUCAAGCCUCUUAACUAAAAGAAUAUUACAAGAGCAUGUACAACUGUAACACUUCGGACCCCAUUUUACCUAUUUACUGGGUAUUCUACAAGUUACUGAGGAAUUUAAUCGUGCUCGGUAACUUAGUAAGUUAGCGUUCAAGUUUAUUUUUGAGUUUUUCUUGAAAUGUCAAUUCCUCUGUUAAGGUCUCGAUGUUGUAGUUUGUGUGGACACGAGUUCACCGGUGUUUUAGAAUUAUUUUUCGGACAUUCGAGGUAUUUUCUACGUUUUGUCGAAGGUUUGGUAUUAGAAUUGAUUUUUUGAAAUUAGAGUAUAGCUGUUAACCUGGGCCGUUUGAUCAGUUAGGGUUUUGAUCUUGACUGUUAAUUCAAGUUUAAAAAGAAGGGAAGUGUUGACCGAGUCAAGAAGCCACACUCGGGCGUUGACCCGAGCUCCAGCCUCUCUCUCCUCUCUCCGGCUGCAUCAGUCAACCCGGCGCAUCAUCGCCGAUUCCGGCCACCACUCGCCGCCACAUUGGUCUCAAAAUGACCACCUCCUUCUCCUCUUCCAAACCCAACCCUCCAUUCCAGCUAGCAUCCACACAGGGAAGAGAUCGAAGUGGAAGAACACAACUGUGUUCAUCAGUUUUCGAUAGAAACCGGCGACAACUGCGACUCUGGUUUGAGCUCCGGUCAUUGAUCCACCUAGUGACGGUGAGUCCCUUCCUCCUCUCUUCCUUUUGCACAGUCCAGUGUUUCUUUUCUUAAUUUUCUGGGUUUCAAGUUCUUAGCUCCGGCGACCUGUGUUCGACGGUUUCCGGUGAGUGCUUAGGGUUUUGGUCGGUCCUCGAUGCUCUGUGUGUUGUCGAGUUGGACCUUGGAGGAGUUGCAGGUCGAUCCGGAUUGAGGCAGAGGUCGGGUGUGUUUGGGCUGAGAGGAAUCGAAGUGGUGUGAUGCUAAUUAGGUGAAGGUGGCGACUAAGGCAGCAACUGGGGAUGUUUGGAGGUCCUGCUUGUUGAGUCCGGACCAGGAGAGUUCUUGGGCUAGUGCUUGAGAUCGAUGGAAGGUAAUCUCUAUCUCCUUUGAUGUUAUAUAGCUGCUGUAUUGAUUUUCGGAUUGAUUGGGUGCAUUUUUGGUGUUGCAAGUCGAUAACUUGGUGAUUUGGAGUUUACGGGGAGGCUAUGACAAAAUUCCGGCAAGUUGCCGGAAUCUGGUGAGUAUUUCUGGCAAGUCGCCGGAAUCCCUACAGCAGUUCCGGCAGAAUCUGUGGAGGUAGCUUGUCGACUUUCCUUUUUCGUUUAAGUUGUAGUUUACAGUUUAGGAAAACCUGCCAUAUUUAGAAAGUUUCUAUUUUUGGAAACUUUCCAUUUAUGGAAACCCUUUUUGGGUGCCCUUAAUAAUUUUUGGUGUGAAGUUGUGUAGCGAGGAAAUGAAUAAGGAUUGUAUAUAUGGGUUAAGAAACAUUUGUAAUUGGGCUGUGAUUGAGGAUUUCACGGAUUGAGAAAAUUGGUCAUUGAGGGAGGGAUUUAGUGAAAAGGUUUGUUCUUAUUUAAGAACUAAUUGAUUCCAAGUGAAGCAAAUAAUUGAAUUAUUAAAAUGUUUGUUGGAAUUAAAUUGGAUGGUUAAUAGUUAAUCAAGGUAACCUGAAUUAUUAGACGUGAAUUGUUGUCAAGAAAUGAAGCAUCCAUAUCCCAAAGUGGAGCGUGAUUGGUUAAGGGAUGUCACACCCCGGCUCUUAAGUUAUUUUACGGUUAUUUACUUUGGUAUUAUUUUGGUCUUUUACUGUGUUAAGUAACCGUUUACCACUUAAGGACCCUAGAGUUGACUUUUUCUUCCGUUUGGAAUUUGGGAAAACUUUCUUCAUGAAAGUCGUCGAGGAGGAUGUUAUUACGAGUUCGUAGACAUGCUAUGAGUUAAAAUCGGAGUUAGCAUGAAAAAGUUAUUAUUUAAAAGAGUAAAUUGUGAGAUGGUAAAAAGGGGUAUUUUUAGUGGGUAUAAUUUUUGGGUUUAAGUGUUAUGGACCUGGUGUGAGUAGCCCACACACACUCCCUCACUCUCUCUCUCUCUCCCUUCCCUCUUCUCUCCCCGAGCCCCCGAGCCCCGAGCCCUCUCUUUUUUGCACUUCCCCAGCGUGGCCUGCCGCCGUCCGGCCAGCCACCAGCCGCCACUCCACGCCAGUUCGGACCCCCGCCACCUCCUCUAUCUCCCCAGCCUAGUGCCCGAGCCUCUAACCCGCCGGAGAGGAGGAAAACCCGCCGGAGACUCCGGGAAGCUUUUCGGCGGAAAUCCCACUUCCGGCCGCCAUAGGUCAAAAUCUUUGGCUCAUCUUGUAGCUCUCAUCAAGGUGAGUAAUCUCUCAAAAGGAAUUAGUUUAUCUCGUUGUUGUUAUGGAGAAAUGUAUAAUUGAAGUUUUAGGGAUUUAUGGAUGUUUUGGUUCGAUUACCCUAGUUAGGCUCAGAAAUGGACUAAGUGCUAGUUAUGAAUGUUGUUGAGCAUGAUGAGAGGAAUAUUCUGUGAAAAUUUGAGAAGCAUUGGCCCUCACCGGAAUACGGCUGCCGGCCGGCGCCGCCGCCCUUUAGGGGUAGUUUUUCAUGCUUUUUGGGUUGGUUUGAAUAAGAGGAGUUUAAUGAAGUAUAGUUGGGAAUUUUUAGAGGAGAUUCGCUAAGGUUUGGGAUUUAUUAAUGAUUAAGGAUUUAGGUGGUUAUUCGAAUGGAAAUCCAGCAGUUAGUUUAGCAGGUUUUAAAGUCUACAAAGGUUAAAUUAUGGCUUUCGGUAAGUGCGGAGUAAUGUAAGCCUUAUUAGGUAAUAAGUGGAGAAGUUGGGCAAGAGAAAUGAAAAUUAUAGGCUUCCUCUCUCUUUUGGAAAUUUUAUUAAAGUUGUAUCCUAGUAUGGAGGUUUAAUGAUUAUUUUAUUGUUCAGGACGUGAGGAGGAUCAUUUGGAGGAAGCCUCGGGCCGUCGGCAAGCAUAGCCGAGCACAGUGAGUGGACCUUUGAUUUUAAUAUUAUGCAUGCGCUAAAGUUAUUUUAUUUCAAAGGCAUUUGGAGAUAUAAUAUUUUUGUUGGAUUAUUGAGUUCCACUUAUUUUUCCGGAACUCUCUUGCUAAUUUUAGUUGACACGUGGGACGUGUCAAGUGAUUUAUAUUAUUUCCAUGUACAGUUGGGAACUGUACUGUGCGCUAUGAGUUUAUUAUAAUUUAUUUAGGGAAGUGUGGAUCUUUUUAUUUUAAUAUUGUACUUCACCAUAAAAGGGUUGAUAUAUAGAUUAUUGCUAGCUAACCUUAUUAGCGGUCCUUAUCAUAUGUGAGUCGCUAUUAUAGUCUUAUUAGCGGUUCUCAUCGUAUGUGAGUAGAGCGCUUAGCGUGGGACGCUAUUAUAGCCUAGAAGGCAACCCAUCGGUAUAUAUAUAUAUAUAUUUAUUGUUAGCUAGCCAUUAUUUAGCGGUCCUCAUCAUAUGAGAGUUGAGCGUUUAGCGUGGGGCGCUAUUAUAGCCUUACUAGCGGUCCUUAUCAUAUGUGAGUAGAGCGCUUAGCGUGGGACGCUAUUAUAGCCUUGGAGACUCAUUGUUAUAUUCUUAUUGAUUUAUUGGGAACCAAUGAGAUUGGUUCAUUAGUUUUGUCUACAAUUAUUUUCGGAAAGAUUUCCAAGAAUGGCAUGCAUAAAUAUUUUCUCAAUGGAAAAUAUGGGAAAAACAUUAAAUUGAUUUCAGGCUCUAUCAUUAAGUCAGUAUUUUUAUUGUUUAUUUUUUGUCCGCUCACAACGUUUUAAAUGCUUUCCCUGGGCCUUUCGUUUUAAAUGCCCAAUCUGCAGAGUUCUGUUCGACGAGGGUAGGAGACGAGUCAUAUUUCCCACCUCAUCCAGUUUUCUCUCAUAGGUUACUAGUCAACCUACCUAUGUAUGUCCUUCUUUCCUAAUAGAUGCUCUGAAUAACCAUGGGCUGUUUUAAGUGAUAUUAAUAUUGUUGUUGUUGUUGUUGUUGGGUGUUAAGAGCUUGUGACUCCUCCUAGGAGUGUUGAAAAUGGUUUAUUUGGUAUGUUUAUGAGAGAUUAAAUUCAUGAAAUUAUUUUGAUUUAUUAUUUUAGUUGAUGUGGUGGAUGUUUAUUUGGAGGAGCGGAUGGCUCCAGAAGAUGUGGAUUAAAUUGUUUUAGAAGUGUGUGGGUUUUGAUGAUUUUUCUUUCAGGUAAGGUUACUCAUUUUCAAGGGAGGUUAUGCCAAAAUUUUGGUAGAAUUUCCCUUGAGGUGGGUCCCGCAGGGUUUAUUCCGGAUUUCAAGGGAAAAUCCGGAGUAGGUCCUGACAAGGGAGUAUUUGGGAAUAGACAAUGUAAUUUUAUUUAGGGACCAAUCUUAAGUCUUGGACUGGACUAUUGGUAACUAUUCUCUGGAUAACUAUUGAUAACUAUUAAGGCUAAAGAUAACUGUUCUCUGGAAGUAGUUGAGAUUUUUAACUGACGGUUUGGGUUAAUUGUUUAAUUAAAGGACUCAAGUAUGUGCCUAUAGACGUAAAGGCUCGCCGUAGGAAGUUGACGGGCAUUUGACUUGGGAUGCCUCUGCUUGGUAAUUAAAUAACCGAAUCACUGUGAGUGAACAUUUCUUUUAUAUUAACUGCAUGCAGAGAUUUAUUUUAAAGGAAUGAUUUAAUUGGUCAUUAAUUUGUGGAAUUUGUUUUCCUCUCGUGAGUUAUUUUCUACGAAGUUAUUUUCGGAGGUAAAUGUUCUUAUUUUAUUUAUUAACUUCACUAUUUUGAGAAUUUCCGAAAAUGAGAUUUUCGGUAUAUAUAUAUGUAUAUUUAUGAGGAGAGUAUGUAUAUAAAUGCUAGCUAGCCAUAUGUGUCUAUCCAUCUUAAUGUCGUACUAUAUAACCGCAUUAUGGUGUGACGUGAGCGUUAGACGCGAGCGUAGUAGCCCUAUAUGAGUGUCUAAUUCAUAUAGGGGGUAUGGACACAUAUUUGUACACUCGUCCGUCCACCUUAAUGGCGUAGUGUAGCACCGCAUUAAGGCGUGACAUGAGCGUUAGACGCAAGCGUAGUAGCCUUGUAUGAAUUCCUAUUUUCCUUAUAUUUCCUUCAUAGAAUUCAUACAAAGAGUAUGAACGUGUGUAGAUACAUACAUAUUAUCUCUAUUAAUUAAGGCAAUUUACUUUAUAAAACUGUUAUUUGGUUAAAUUUUCAAAAAUCCUUAAAAUGCCUUUCCUUGAUUAAACUGUGCUAAUAAGAAAAUUGUAUAUUUCAUGGACAAAAUGGUAAAAAGAAAAAACAGAAACAAAAUGUAAAUUGGAUAAUUUAAGAAGAUAACUGUUUGGGGUAAAAGUGGAUAAUUUCCACAGUAUGAAAAACUGUCGUUUGAAAGAAAAUGUGGUCAUUCAUGGGAGUUCUCAGUAGAGAAAUAGUUUCAUCCCUCUCUUUAUCUUAUCAGUUUAUACAGAAGAAGAACAAAUCCAGAAAGAGGCAACACUUGAAAGAGUAAACAAAGAAUUCGGGUAUGUUUUUGUACAAUUGUUCAUUGGAUUUAGAUUUGAUUUAGUUUUGUUUCAUGUUGAUAAAGUUACAGUUCGAACUCGAAGGAUGGUACUUUAUGCAGGAGGGGAUCACCAAGUUUAAGAAGAUUUUAAAGGGAUUGCUAGAGGCUCAGUUCAAUUUAGAAGACUACAUGAUGCUUAUCUACAUGUAUCCUUUAUUGGUAGUUUGUAUUUGUUACUUCAGAUACUACAGUUGUAUGACUGUGUUUUUUUUUAUUUUUUAUUUUUUUCAUUUGGUACCAAGUUUGAUUUUGUUUUUUCUCUUUGAUUUUUGGAUAAUUAGGUUAUUGAACUCAGAUUCCAUGUACGUUCCUGCAAAUUUGAUGUCUCAAUAUGUGUUCUUGGCUUUGCAAUUGCACAACUGCUAUCUACUUUCUACUGUAGUUUUUUUUUUCUGAAUUUUGUAGGUAUAUAUGUGGAAGAGAUGGUUAACUUCUUUUUUGUCCAGGUAACUUUUCUUCUCCUUUUCUCUUCUCCAUUGUCAAAUUUUGUUUCCCAUAUGAUAUCAAAAAUAUGAUAUCUAUUAGUUUGGUUCUUUUUUUACUUUUGAAACGGUUGCUCUCCCAAACAGAUCUCAAAUAUUGCAAUUGUGGUGAAACUUUCGAUAAUAAACAAGUUCAUGUAAUUUUUCAUAAAGAAAGAAAUAGAUUCAUGUAUGUAUCCUUGAUUACUGUACAAACAAACUACUUUCUUUCCUCCAUGAUAACUGUAACUUUUUAAAUGCAUCUUUCUAAGUUCUAAAUUCUUGGUUGGUUCAUCAAGAUUCUAGAUUCCUUGGAUUUCCUACAAGAGAAGGCUAUUUUGGUUUGUCUCCCGUUCUGUCUAAAGAUAUACUCAUAUCAGAAUUGUUUGUUGUUUAUUUGUUUUUUUGUUUUUUGUAGACUGUGUCUUCAGAACUUGCAAGAUAUGCUAAUUGAUCACCAAGUUACUUAUAGUUCCUGAAGGAGCGAGAAAGAGAGAGGACGGAGAGAGGUAUAGAAGUAGACCUCAUUUGCUUUUCUUAAAGCAUCUAUGGAGGCAAUGCAUCAUUAUAAAAAGCUCAAUUAUGAUCAAAAUGAAGAUCAUUUACUUUCGAUUAUUCAUUGUGCAAAAGUAAAAAAAAGUGUGAUUGCAAUGCUGAAGCCAAAUGAAGACUGAGGAACGUAGAGAAGAGAAGUAAAUAUAUAUCUAUUAGGCUAUGAAAUGGAUGUUGUCUAAUUAAGCAAAUGAAGACAGAAACGUGGAGAAGAAGAGAGAAGCGAAUAUUUGUUAGGCUAUGAAAUAAACGCUGUCGAUUUAUUUUUAUCAAAUUGGCUAUCAAUUAUUUCACUACGAAACGUUUGCCAUUGAUUGUUUUUGAUCUUUAAUAUUUUCUGAUACACCCCGAACCUAGUAAUUAUUUUUUUAUAUUGUGAUUUCCAGUUUAGUGGUAGCUAAUCAAUUCGGAAAUUUAUUCCGGUUAUUUUUGAUAGAGGUGGUUUAUUCGAGUUCAUGGAUUUUUUUUUAGUUACCUGAAUAGGAGUUCGUAAUUGGAGGGUAGCUAAAAUAAUAAUAGAGUCCAUUUUUGGGCUAGGUUUUUAAGUGGGACUUGUCUUAUUUGAUAGAGAAAGAAAAACAGAAAAGUUAGCCUCUCAUCUCUCUCUCCCCGACCUCCUGAGGCCGUCCGACUCUCCUCAACGGAAAGCCGCUGUCCAGCCACGCCUAGUCGCCGCGCCAGUCUCGUACGGCAGCUGGGACACUGCUCGUCCUUCCUAGGGUGGUGGCCGUCCUCCUCUCUCCGGCAGCAGCUCACGGGAGCGCUCUCAAGCCGCCGGUUUUGUGGAGCCGGAACUGUUUUCUCCGGCCACCGAUUCUAACGAUCCUUGGGGGGUUUUAUAGCUCUUCUCUAGACCAUUCAACCAUUUCAAGGUGAUAGAACAAUUCGGGGUGUAUAGAGCAAAUCGGUUUUAGUGUGUCCUUGAGCUUUAGAGGUAUUUUCCGGCCAACUCUUUAGUUUCUGGGUUUAAUACUAGUUAUGUUUGUUGUUGUGCAUAUGGAGAGGAAGAGUUUGGCUUAUGUCUUGUUAGUUUUGGUUGAAGUUGAUUAAGGUGGUGGUGGUUGACCGCCGCUGCCAGCGGUUGACCGCCACUGCCGGUGACUGCUGCCGGUUUUGGUGGUGGUUUUGAGUAAUUUUGGAUGAUUUCUAGAAGGGAUAAAUGUUGUUGUAUUGUAUGGUGAUUUUUGGCGAAGAGUGCUUGGAAAUUGGGAUAGUUUUGAUGGCUCCAUGGGUGAGAGAUGAGUGGUAUUGAAGUAUUAGAAAUUUUGGUGAGUGUUAGUAGGAAUUUAGGAAAGUUUAAGUUGAUUUUGGUGAAAGAGUAGAGGUGAGCCUCAUCCUUGGGAAUUUCCAUAUUUGUGCUCAAGUGUUAGAACGUUGAGGAAAAAUUGGAGACAGUUAGUAAAAAUGGUUGGAGUUCUCUUUAGUUUUUGGAGAGUGUAGAGUGAGGGUAGAUGGCUUUGCCCUAUUUUGUUAAUUUGAUAUUCUUGUAUUAUUUUUGUCUCGGACCUUAAAUCUCGUUUUGUACAGGACGAGAGGAGACACCACGUGAGGAGGGCUCUGACCGACGUCAGGCUUAGCCGUCAAUAUUGUGAGUGGAUAUUUUAUUUUAUUUUUAAAAGGGAUAUGCAUGCAUGGUUUGUUUAGAAAAUUAUUCCCUCUAUGAAAUGAUCUUAAGAAAAUGAUUUGAGUUAUUUUCUUUAAAGCAUGUUAACGUGUGAGACACAUUGAAUUUAAGUAAUCAUCUUGCUCUUGGAAUAAUUAUGAUAUCAAGCUAGCAUGUUGUUCCACCUUUCGAGGUGAUAUGGUUACCACGUUUCAAGUGGGGUCAUGCAAGCCCUUUCCAUCCUAGUGGUGAUGUGAUGUUGCAGGUGGCAUCACGCAAGCCCUGUGCCCUAUCCGUCAACUCGACGUGAAGGUACAUGGAGUAUGAGAGUACUAUGCCUGGGAGGCAACCGAGUCUGGGAGACUCACUUAUAUGGCCAUAUAAGUUAAUUUAUUGAGUUGUUAAUUUGACUAGUGGGGUUAGUCCACUAUUUUAGAAAGUGUCGUAUGUGAGGAAUUUAAUUAUUUUUCUUAUUAAAUUAUGACUAGCGGGGCUAGCGUCAAUUUUUGAUGAGCUCAUAAAAUUUGCAUGCAUGGUAAUUCUUAAAUUACGUAUAAGUGGAAAAGCAUAUAAAAAUUUGAUUUAGUAUCUUUAUGUUCUUAGAUACUUAUUAAUUAGUUUAUUUUUUGUCCACUCACGUUAACGUUUGUUUUUAAAUGCUUUUCCCUGGGCUUUUUGUUUUCAACUGCCCAGACUGCAGAGCUCCUGUUCGGUCUCCCUAGGAGUUGAGGCAUAGUUUUCCCGCUGCUCCUUGCUGAUCAUAGGUUACAUGUUAACCUAUGCAUAGUUGUUUUAUUUUCCUUCCUUAGUGCUCUGAGAACCAUGAGAUUAUGUAAAUUAAGUGGAAGUGUUUGCUUUAGGUCUAUGACUCAAAGUAGAGAGUUUAAGCUUGGGUGAUGUUCAUGUUAAUUAAUACAGUUGGAUACUUGAUUUGGUUGUUUAAGUAUUGAUAUAACUUGGUUCUUGUUGUGGGGAGUGAAGGACUCCAGGAGUGGUGAUUGUUGAUUAUAGUUGAAGUGUUCUUGGUUCUUUUCUCGCAGGUUGGGUUGUCCAUUUUUAGGGGAGAUUAUGCCAAAAUUUCGGUAUAAUCUCUUUUAAGAGUGGACCCCGCAAGACUUGUCUGUUUUACUGUGUGUUUUUGGGGCGGGUCUUGUUAGUUGGUAUCAGAGCAUUAGGUUCCUCUUCCUAUUGAAAUAGUGGCGUCUAGUUUAAUACUAGAUUGUUCAUGUGUAUAUUACUAAUCUAUAUUUAUCUCAGGUACUAUGCCUCCUAGACGCCGAACACAGAGAGCUCCUCCUGUGGGGGAUGACAUGAGUGCACAAGUGGGUAUGCUGGGAGCGUUUGAGCAGAUUGUUAAUCAGUUUGCUGCAACAAUGAACCCUCAGCCUCCGCCUGACUUUAGCAUUAAGAAAACCAAGGAAAAUGGUGCUGAGAAGUUUUCUACAGCCAAGGAUUCCAUUGAGGCCCAGGAGUGGAUUGAGACUAUGGAGAGAGUGUUUACUAGGAUGAGUGUUCCUGAAGAUCGUAAGGUAUUUGUGGCAGUGCAAUGGUUGCACGGUCCUGCAUGGCAUUGGUGGGUCGGUAUUACUAGAGAUUAUGGGGAUGCUCCUCAGAUGACUUGGGAUGAGUUCAAGGCCCAUUUCAAUGAUCGUUACUGUAGUCGAGCCCAUCUCCAUAGGAUGCAGGAUCAGUUUAUGAAUUUGCAGAAAGGAGAUAUGUCAGUCUUGGAGUUUGAGCAGUAUUUCCUUGCUAGAGCUCAUCAUGUUCCUGACUUGGUAAGGGACGAGCAUGAUAAGAUAUACAGGUUUGUUCGGGGACUUGGGGGUGAGUAUGAGGAAUAGAUGCAAGCAGUGUUGUAUCCGAAAUUUAGUGAUGCAGUUGGGGCAGCUUUAAAUAUUGAGACCUCACAGAUGGGUAGCCGACCCCGAGACUUUGGUGGCCCUAGUCAGGGGCCAUCAAAGAGAGCAGGAUCUACAUCUGGUUCCGGAUCUUCUGCGGGUAGUGGACGUAGUAGUAGCUCUGGUCAUUCAGCCCGACCUAGACUCAGAGGUAGCCAGAGAUUUGCUGGGGGAUCUGCAGGCAGACGCCCCUUUAGUCAGUUUAGGGGUGGUAUGAGUGGUAGUAGUGGAGGCCACAAUAGUCAGUCAGGUCAGUCUGGACAGUAUCAACCAGUUGGGUGUUUCGAGUGUGGCGAGCCAGGUCACUUUAAGAGAGAUUGUCCCCGUUUGGCUCAGGGGGUCGCACCUACAUUUUAUCAAACUGCAGGUCAGACUUCAGUUGGCGCUUCUAGCAGUGGCUCACGUGCUAGUUCAGCAGCUAGAGGCGGUCCCCAGCAGGGUAGAGGUCAGAGAGGACGUCCUACCACUCAGGCUAGAGUUCAUGCCAUGACAUUUCAGGAGGGUCGUACCUCGCCCGAGGUUAUCAUUGGUAGGUUGUUUAUUUUUGGCCAACCUGCAUUUACUUUGAUUGAUCCGGGAGCUACCCAUUCCUUUAUGUCUAGUAGAUUUGCACUUCAUGCAAAUGUGCUUUCAUCUCCUCUCCCGGGGGAGUGGUACGUGUCUUUGCCUUCGGGUGAUGUGUAUAAAAUUGAUUGGGUAUUUAGGUCUUGUGAAGUUCUGGUUGAGGGGUAUAACUUGGAGGCAAAUUUAAUUCCGUUAGAGAUGGUUGAUUUUGAUGUGAUUUUGGGGAUGGAUUUCUUAGAGGCACUGAUACACCCCGAACCUAGUAAUUAUUUUUAUGUUGUAAUUUCCGAUUUAAUGGUAGCUAAUCAAUUCAGAAAUUUAUUCUGUUAUUUUGAUAGGGGUGGUGUAAACGAACUCGUAGACUCUUAAUUACCCGUUUGGUAGUUCGUAUGUGUAAGUGUUGUAGGAAAUAAUAAAGUUACUAAUAUUGGGCUUAGGCAUUUAAGGGAGACUUGCCAUUUAGGAAGGGAAAAGUAAAAAUCAGAAAAAAAAAUACAACCCUCUCCACUUCUCUCUCUCCUCGAGCCGAGCCCGACCCCGACCCGUCCGGUUCACCUCGACGGACCGCCGCCGUCCGGCCACACCAGACCUCCGCGCCGGUUCCGUUCAGCAGCUGGGACCUCGGUCGACCUUCCUAGGGUAGCAGCUAACCCCAUCUCGCCGGUGUUAGGGCGCCGGAGGCCCUAGAAGAAGCUGUGUCACCGUGUCUUCUUCUUGCCGGAAUUCCUUCCUCCGGCCAUCAAUCGGGGAACUAAAGGUAGGGUUUUGAUGCCCUCUUGCUGGUUAUUCUUUCCCCUAAAGGUAGGAGAUCGAUUGGGUGUAGAUAGCAAAUCGGGGGUUUUGUGUUCUAGGGCUUGUGAAGUGUUUUCCGGCCAAACCUUUGAUUUGUGGGUUUUGUGUUAGUUAGAAUUGUUGUUAAGCUUGAUGAGAGGAAGAGUUUGGGGUAUGCUUUGAAAUUUUGCUCGGAAUUGUGGGAGAGAUGGUGGUUGACUGCCACUGCCGGCAGUUGACCGCCACUGCUGGUGGUUGCUGCCAUUUAUGGUGGUGGUUGUGAAGAGUUUUGUUGGAUUUUUCUAGAAGGGUAUUAAGUUGUUAUAGUGUAAAAGGAUUUUUGGUGAAGAGUGCUUGGAAAUUGGAAAUUAGGAAAGUUUAAGUUGAUUUUGGUGAAAGAAUAGAGGUGAGCCGCAUCCUUGGGAAUUUCCAUAUUUGUGCUUAAGUGUUAGAACGUUGAGGAAAAAUUGGAGACGGUUAGUAAAAAUGGUUGGAGUUCUCCUUAGUUUUUGGAGAGUGUAGAGUGAGGGUAGAUGGCUUUGCCCUAUUUUGUUAAUUUGAUAUUCUUGUAUUAUUUUUGUCUCGGACCUUAAAUCUCAUUUUGUACAGGACGAGAGGAGACACCACGUGAGGAGGGCUCUGACCGACGUCAGGCUUAGCCGUCAAUAUUGUGAGUGGACACUUUGUUUUUAAUGGAAUAUGCAUGCAUGAUUGGAGAUUUGAAAUAAGUGGAUUAUUUGGUUUAAUGAUUACUUUGAGCAUCUUAACGUGUGGGACACGUUAUUAAAUUUAAUUUAUUUCUUUUCUCAUGGAAUUUUCCGUGUGCGGUUGGGAAUCGUACUUAUGUUUUAAAGAUGAGUUUCGGGGAAACUCCCAUGAAAUUAUAUUUUUCUUUCAUAUGCUAUAUUUGUGUGAUUAUAUGAUGUCCAUGCUAGUAUGUCGUUCCACCUUUCGAGGUGAUGUGACUUCCACGUUUCAAGUGGGGUCACGCAAGCCCUUUCCAUCCUAGUGGUAAUGUGAUGUUGCCGGCGGCAUCACGCAAGCCCUGUACCCUAUCCGUCAACUCGACGUGAAGGUACAGGGAGUAUGGGAGUACUAUGCCUGGGAGGCAAUCGAGUCUGGGAGACUCACUUAUAUGGCCAUAUAGAAUAUUUUUCUUGAGUUGUUAAUUUGACUAGCGGGGCUAGUCCAUCAUCUUGGAAGUUUCUUAUAUGAGGAAUCCGUUUAUUUUCUUAUUGCUUUAUGACUAGCGGGGUUAUGGUGAAUGUUGUUGAGAUUAUAAUAUUUGCAUGCAUAUAAAUUCUUAAUUACGUAUAAAUGGAAAAGCAUAUAAAAAGUGAUUUUGUAUUAUUUUAUUCUUGGAUGCAUAUUAAUUAGUUUACUUUCCGUCCACUCACGCUAAUGUUUUUAAAUGCUUUUCCCUGGGCUCUUUGUUUUCAAAUGCCCAGAUUGCAGAGCUCCUGUUCGGUUUCCCUAGGAAUUGAGGCAUAGUUUUCCCGCUGCUCCUUGCUGAUCGUAGGUUACCUGUUAAUCUAUGUGUAGUUGUUUUAUUUUCCUCCCUUAGUGCUCUGAGAACCAUGGGAUGAUGUAAAUUAAGUUGAAGUGUUUUUCUUUAGGACUAUGUCUCAAGUAGAGAGUUUAAUCUUGGUUGAUGUUCAUGUUAAUUAAUGUAGUUGAGAAUUUGGUUUGGUUGUUAAGUACUGCUAUGACUUUGGUUCUUGUUAUGGGGAGUGAAGGACUCCUGGAGUGGUGGUUGACGAUUAUAGUUGAAGUGUUCAGUUUCAUUACAGGAUGGGUUGUCCAUUUUUAGGGGAGGUUAUGCCGAAAUUUUGGUAUAAUCUCUUUUAAGAGUGGACCCCGCAAGACUUGCCUGUUUUACUAGGUGUUUUCGGGGUGGGUCUUGUCAGGCACAUCAGGCUUUGGUUGAUUGUUUCCAGAAAACUGUAGUGUUCCGAAGUCCGGGAAAGCCAGAGAUUACAUUUUGUGGAGAGCGAAAUGUUUUGCCAUCUUGCUUGAUUUCAGCAGAAACAGCGGGAAAAUUGCUGAGUAGGGGUUGUCAGGCAUAUUUGGCCCAAGUUGUGGAUACUCGUAUGGGAGUUCUUAAGGUUGAAGACAUUCCUGUAGUUAAAGAGUUCCCUAAUGUUUUUCCUGAGGAGUUACCUGGUUUACCUCCUACAAGGGAGAUAGAGUUUACCAUCGAAUUACUUCCUGGAACAGCCCCUAUUUCUCAAGCACCCUACAGGAUGGCCCCGGCGGAAUUGAAGGAGUUGAAGGUCCAAUUGCAGGAGUUAGUGGACAAGGGUUUCAUAAGGCCUAGUAUGUCUCCUUGGGGUGCCCCAAUAUUGUUCGUUAGGAAGAAGGAUGGUAGUAUGAGACUGUGCGUUGAUUAUAGGAAGUUGAAUCAAGUUACUGUGAAAAAUAAGUAUCCUUUGCCCCGCAUAGAUGAUUUGUUUGAUCAGUUGAGGGGUGCUAAAGUCUUUUCCAAGAUUGACUUGAGGUCCGGGUAUCACCAGUUGCGGAUUAGAGACUCUGACAUAGCCAAGACUGCCUUUCGGUCACGCUAUGGUCACUAUGAGUUUGUGGUGAUGCCGUUUGGGUUGACAAAUGCACCCGCUGCUUUCAUGGAUUUGAUGAAAAUAUAGGGUGUUUCGCCCAUAUCUAGACCGUUUUGUCAUUGUGUUCAUUGAUGAUAUUCUGAUUUAUUCAAAGAGUGAGAAGUUACACUCUAAACAUUUGAGUCUGGUGCUUCAGACUUUGAGGUGUGCAGAGCUAUAUGCCAAGUUUAGUAAAUGCGAGUUUUGGCUUGAUAGUGUUGGAUUUUUGGGCCAUGUUAUUUCAGCUGAAGGUGUUAGUGUGGAUCCUCAAAAGGUGGAAGCGGUGACUAAUUGGAGUAGGCCUAAUAGUGUAACAGAGAUUUGUAGUUUCUUGGGUCUAGCAGGCUAUUAUCGUCGUUUUGUACGAGAUUUCUCUAAGAUCGCCGCUCCACUUACAAGAUUGAUGAGGAAAGGAGUUAAGUUUGAGUGGUCUGAGAAAUGUGAGCAGAGUUUUCAGGAACUCAAGAAUCGGUUAACUAGUGCUCCUGUUUUGGCUUUGCCUGAUAAUAGUGGAGAAUAUGUGAUAUAUUGUGAUGCAUCAAGAGUGGGUUUGGGUGGUGUGCUUAUGCAGCAUGAAAAUGUAAUUGCCUAUGCUUCUAGGCAACUUAAGCCGCAUGAGUUGAAUUAUCCAACCCAUGAUUUAGAGCUUGCCGCGGUGGUCUUUGCAUUGAAGUUAUGGAGACACUAUCUUUAUGGAGCUAAGUGUCAGAUCUUUACGGAUCACAAAAGUCUCCGAUAUAUUUUUACGCAAACAGAAUUGAAUUUGAGGCAAAGGAGGUGGAUGGAGUUGAUUAAAGAUUAUGAUUGCACUAUUGAGUACCAUCCUGGAAGAGCGAAUGUGGUGGCAGAUGCUCUUAGUCGGAAGCCUACCUGUAGCUUGUCCUAUGUGAGGACAGUUCGACUUCCUCUUCUUUAUGAACUUCGAGCUACAGGAGUUGAUUUGUCUAUGGAUAGAGUUGGUACUUUGGUUGCUAGUUUCCAUGUGAGACCGAUUCUGAUUGACAGAGUGCGAGAGGCACAAUAUCAAGACCCUUCCAUUGUCUGCUUGAUUGAAAGAACACGUGGUGGCACCACGGUGGGAUUCUCGAUUGGAAAAGAUGGGGUAUUAUUAUUUAAAAAUAUACUUUGUGUGCCGAAAAGGAAUGAAGUGCUGAAGCAAGAGAUUUUGGAGGAAGCUCAUAGUUCUCCUUAUGCGAUGCAUCCUGGCAGUACUAAGAUGUAUUGGACUUUGAGGGAAUUUUAUUGGUGGCCAAAUAUGAAGAGAGAGAUUGCGGCUUUUGUGAGUAGAUGCUUGGUUUGCCAGCAGGUGAAAGCUGAAAGGCAGAAACCAGCAGGGUUGCAACAACCCCUGGAGAUUCCAGUGUGGAAAUGGGAUCAUAUCACUAUGGACUUUGUUUAUGGUCUACCUCGCUCUCGAGAUGGUCAUGAUGGUAUUUGGGUGAUUGUUGAUCGACUCACCAAAUCAGCACACUUCCUACCGGUUAAUAAAACCGAUAAAUUGGAGCAAUUGGCGGGAUUGUAUGUAAAUGAGAUUGUUAGACUUCAUGGGGUGCCAGAAUCUAUAGUAUCUGAUCGGGAUCCCCGUUUUGUGUCAAAGUUUUGGAAAGGGUUGCAGGCGGCUUUGGGGACUCGAUUAUGUUUUAGCACUGCCUUUCAUCCACAAACCGAUGGGCAAUCCGAGAGAACUAUUCAGACCUUAGAAGAUAUGUUGAGGUCUUGUGUGAUGCAAUUUAGAGGGAGUUGGGAUAAGAAAUUGGUUUUGAUGGAAUUUGCCUAUAAUAACAGUUUUCAUUCUAGUAUUGGUAUGACACCAUUUGAGGCCUUAUAUGGGAGGCAAUGUCGUACACCCUUAUGCUGGAAUGAAGUGGGAGAAAGAGAAUUUGCUGCUCUAGAAAUUGUAUUCCAUACUAAUGAGAACAUCAAGGUAAUCAGAGAUAGAAUCAAGGCAGCUCAGAGUAGGCAGAAAAGUUAUGCAGAUAACCGCAGAAGGGACCUUGAAUUUCAGGUUGGCGAUUGGGUAUUCCUGAAGUUAUCCCCAUGGAAGGGUGUGAUUCGGUUUGGGAAACGUGGAAAACUUAGCCUAAGGUACAUCGGUCCUUAUGAAAUUACGGAGCGGGUUGGCCCAAUAGCUUAUCGUUUGAGAUUAUCUCCAGAGUUAUCCAGGAUGAUGUUUUCCAUGUGUCUAUGCUCCGUAAGUAUGUAGCCGAUCCUUCUCAUGUCUUGCAAGAGCAACCCAUUAGUUUAAAGAAGGAUUUGACCUACGAAGAAGAACCGGUUCAGAUCUUAGAUCAAAAAGAGAAAGUGCUAAGAAAUAAGACAGUUCGACUUGUUAAAGUCCUCUGGAGAAGUCAUCAGGUUGAGGAGGCUACUUGGGAACCUGAGGAUCAGAUGAGACAUCAGUAUCCCCACCUCUUUUUUUGACAGGUAUGGAAAUUUCGAGGACGAAAUUUUUAUAAGGAGGGGAGAAUUGAUACACCCCGAACCUAGUAAUUAUUUUUUAUAUUGUGAUUUCCGGUUUAGUGGUAGCUAAUCAAUUCGGAAAUUUAUUCCGGUUAUUUUUGAUAGAGGUGGUUUAUUCGAGUUCAUGGAUUUUUUUUUAGUUACCCGAAUAUGAGUUUGUAAUUAGAGGGUAGCUAAAAUAAUAAUAGAGUCCAUUUUUGGGCUAGGUUUUUAAGUGGGACUUGUCUUAUUUGAUAGAGAAAGAAAAACAGAAAAGUUAGCCUCUCAUCUCUCUCUCCCCGACCUCCCGAGGCCGUCCGACUCUCCUCAACGGAAAGCCGUUGUCCGGCCACGCCUAGUCGCCGCGCCAGUCUCGUACGGCAGCUGGGACACUGCUCGUCCUUCCUAGGGUGGUGGCCGUCCUCCUCUCUCCGGUAGCAGCUCACGGGAGCGCUCUCAAGCCGCCGGUUUUGUGGAGCCGAAACUGUUUUCUCCGGCCACCGAUUCCAAUGAUCCGUUGGGGGGUUUUGUAGCCCUUCUCUAGACCAUUCAACCAUUUUAAGGUGAUAGAACAAUUCGGGGUGUAUAGAGCAAAUCGGUUUUAGUGUGUCCUUGAGCUUUGGAGGUAUUUCCGGCCAACUCUUUAGUUUCUGGGUUUAAUACUAGUUAUGUUUGUUGUUGUGCGUAUGGAGAGGAAGAGUUUGGCUUAUGCCUUAUUAAUUUUGGUUGAAGUUGAUUAAGGUGGUGGUGGUUGACCGCCGCUGCCAGCGGUUGACUGCUGCCGGUUUUGGUGGUGGUUUUGAGUAAUUUUGGAUUAUUUCUAGAAGGGAUAAAUGUUGUUGUAUUGUAUGGUGAUUUUUAGUGAAGAGUGCUUGGAAAUUGGGAUAGUUUUGAUGGCUCCAUGGGUGAGAGAUGAGUGGUAUUGAAGUAUUGGAAAUUUUGGUGAGUGUUAGUAGGAAUUUAGGAAAGUUUAAGUUGAUUUUGGUGAAAGAGUAGAGGUGAGCCUCAUCCUUGGGAAUUUCCAUAUUUGUGCUCAAGUGUUAGAACGUUGAGGAAAAAUUGGAGACGGUUAGUAAAAAUGGUUGGAGUUCUCUUUAGNNNNNNNNNNNNNNNNNNNNUCGGACCUUAAAUCUCGUUUUGUACAGGACGAGAGGAGACACCACGUGAGGAGGGCUCUGACCGACGUCAGGCUUAGCCGUCAAUAUUGUGAGUGGAUAUUUUAUUUUAUUUUUAAAAGGGAUAUGCAUGCAUGGUUUGUUUAGAAAAUUAUUCCCUCUAUGAAAUGAUCUUAAGAACAUGAUUUGAGUUAUUUUCUUUAAAGCAUGUUAACGUGUGAGACACGUUGAAUUUAAGUAAUCAUCUUGCUCUUGGAAUAAUUAUGAUAUCAAGCUAGCAUGUUGUUCCACAUUUCGAGGUGAUAUGGCUACUACGUUUCAAGUGGGGUCAUGCAAGCCCUUUCCACCCUAGUAGUGAUGUGAUGUUGCCGGUGGCAUCACGCAAGCCUUGUGCCCUAUCCGUCAACUCGACGUGAAGGUACAGGGAGUAUGGGAGUACUAUGCCUGGGAGGCAACCGAGUCUGGGAGACUCACUUAUAUGGCCAUAUAAGUUAAUUUAUUGAGUUGUUAAUUUGACUAGUGGGGUUAGUCCACUAUUUUAGAAAGUGUCGUAUGUGAGGAAUUUAAUUAUUUUUCUUAUUAAAUUAUGACUAGCGGGGCUAGCGUGAAUUUUUGAUGAGCUCAUAAAAUUUGCAUGCAUGGUAAUUCUUAAAAAACGUAUAAGUGGAAAAGCAUAUAAAAAUUUGAUUUAGUAUCUUUAUGUUCUUAGAUACUUAUUAAUUAGUUUAUUUUUCGUCCACUCACGCUAACGUUUGUUUUUAAAUACUUUACCCUGGGCUUUUUGUUUUCAACUGCCCAAACUGCAGAGCUCCUGUUCGGUCUCCCUAGGAGUUGAGGCAUAGUUUUCCCGCUACUCCUUGCUGAUCAUAGGUUACAUGUUAACCUAUGCGUAGUUGUUUUAUUUUCCUUCCUUAGUGCUCUGAGAACCAUGAGAUUAUGUAAAUUAAGUGGAAGUGUUUGCUUUAGGUCUAUGACUUAAAGUAGAGAGUUUAAGUUUGGGUGAUGUGCAUGUUAAUUAAUACAGUUGGAUACUUGAUUUGGUUGUUUAAGUAUUGAUAUAACUUGGUUCUUGUUGUGGGGAGUGAAGGACUCCAGGAGUGGUGAUUGUUGAUUAUAGUUGAAGUGUUCUUGAUUCUUUUCUCGCAGGUUGGGUUGUCCAUUUUUAGGGGAGAUUAUGCCAAAAUUUCGGUAUAAUCUCUUUUAAGAGUGGACCCCGCAAGACUUGCCUGUUUUACUGUGUGUUUUUGGGGCGGGUCUUGUCAUUUUCUGUAUUUGAUUUGGCACUUACUCAAUGAUUCAGUUUUGUUAGUAAUUUGAACCGUGGAGACACCAAGGGUUAACUUGUUAAAUUGUUAUAGCUUAGUUGUCUGCUAAAUGGUUAUAGCUUAGUUGUCUUUAUGAAAAUAUUGUAAUUUGUUCUUUAAUAUUUUUUUGUAUUUGAUUUCGCACUUACUCAAUGAUUUAGAUCCCUUUAGUAGUUUGAAUCGUGGACACCAAGGAUUAAGGCUUGCCAAAUGGUUAUAGCUUGCUUAGUUCUCUUUCCACACUAUAUGAAAACAAGAUUGUAAAUAAAAUUGAGGCUAACCGCAUGCGACCCUUUCAAAUAACUUCUUUUGCCGAAGAUUUGAAUGUUUUUUUUAAUACUUUUUGAAUGUUACUAAGAACGAUUAUUAUAUGUCAAAUGAUACAAUAGGGCAUUGAUAAAUAAAUGUAGUUAACUAAUGUUAAAAGGGAAAAAAACGCACGCGCGAGCGUGGUCAUUUCGGAAGGCUAGUAAUAAAUAAAAUCAUUAAAUAUGAAAUUCUUUUUUUUUUUUGGAAUUUUUAUUUUCUCACAAAUAAUUAAAUAUAAUCGAAUAGGUCUAGUAUAUAUUGAUGGAUUUAUAUUAUUGAGUUUGAGAGGCUCGAUAUUUAAAAGAUGAAAGUUUUAUCGUUUGAGGCAUGCAUUCGAUUUGUUUGGAAAUUUAAUUUGGGAAAGCAUUAAUUAUUUUUGUUAAAUUUAUUUUUGUCCACUCACUCUAACGUUUGCAAAUGUUUUCCCUUAGGCCCUUCGUUUUAAAAAUGCCCAGUAUACAGGUUAGCAUAGUUGAGGUCGAGCGUACAUGGAAAAGAGGCAUAGUCAAUAGUAUAGCGUCCGCUCAUUUUUAUAUUCCUAGUUCCUUUCCUCUCAGAUAGAGUUGCUCUGAACUGUGGUUGUUGGUUGUGAGAUUUUCUUUUUAAAGUUAGUAAAUAAAUUGGGAGAUGUUGUGAUUUGGGGAGCACGAAGGCUCCAGGAGUUUAAGGUUGGAUUUGGAUUUUCAGAAGUAUAUGCAGGUUUUAUUAGGAAGGGUUGUCCAUUUUUAAGGGAGGUUAUACUGAAUUUUCGAUAAAUUUUCCUUAAAGGUGGUCCCCGCAGGAUUUACUUCCGGUUUCAGGGUGAAAUUCGGGAUGGGUCUUGACAACAACAAUAAAACUCAUUUCAAAUAUUGGAUAAAUGAAUCAAAUUUCGGUAGCAUACUCAAACGCAUGAUCAUUACAAGAUAAAUGAAGUUAGCAUACUUUGUUUCUUUCUUAAGAGGAAUGUAGGCAUUCACAAGAGACUUAGAAUUUGGUCUCUUACAAUGAUCAAACUGCAAGAGAUCAGCCAUAAACAGGCACAACAUCAACAACCAAAACCUAUGAGCACAAUCUAGAGAGGCAACAUAUAUCUUCAUGAACCGUACUUAUAACUAAUUUCCAUAGAAUACCAUGAUAGAAUACCCAAGGCUAAGUAACCCUAAAGUGGCAAUAUCAUCCAGAUCUCUUAGUCCAUUUAAGCUAAUGAUACCAAUAGGUAACUGUGCAUGAUAUCACUAAUGCAAAAAUCAGAAAAAUAACUAGAUUGAAGGCAGAAAUGCAAUAAACCCACUUACCAACUGGUCCUCCAAUGCUAAUAGUUAAAGCUCUUUCCUUCAAAUCCCUAGAUUGGAGUGAUGAAGCUAUUAUGCUGAAGAAACCAGGAGAGUAGAUUAAAACGAGAUUGGGGAGGUCAUUGACACAACUAGUCAACUCUAGCAUCUUGUGUAACAUAAGAAAACUGAAACAUUACUCAUGAACUAUGUGCAGACUGAAAUAUUGCUCACUCAUCUUAGUAUAAUAAUUUAGUAUUAUAAAUAUGUGUAACAAACUAUUUGAUAUUCUGAGACAAGACUAUUAUAUGAAUAGUAUAUGUAACUAAGCCAAUUCAUAAGUACACUGAUGCUCAUCUCCCAUACAAGCUUAAAAGUUAAAACCCAAUAUCCAAACACUCCAUUCUUUAUGCAUGCACUCCAUCACUGUACCACUGCCAAAACCACCCUACAGUUGCAUAAUAGCGAGCAUGCAUAAAAAACAAAGCAAAUGAGCAGUAUAUGCAAAGCCGAAAUGUGCUCAAUUGAACUAGUGGCCUUCCUAAUCAACAAUUUAUUACAAGACUACUAGGU